AUGGGGACUAGCCUGGGUGGUUAGGCGUCACCUGUAAGCCGAAAACGCCGAUACGCGGCGGGCGAAGUCCGAGGAAGGCCUUGGCGAUCUGUAGGCGCCCUGUGCUUCCCGACUGAGAAGCCUUGUCCCAUGAGGUCGAUGGCCAGGGAUCGAUGCUCCGUAGGGAGCGGAGACCUGUUGUCGCGGAAACCGGUCCAGGCCCGGAAGGGAGCAGACUUACCGUGAACAUACGGCGCCCAUGGGAGUGCGGGGUGGAGAAGGGGAGCCCCGGCAAGUGCAGGCACGCAUUGUCGACCAAGGACACGUCCCCAA
This 312-nucleotide signal recognition particle RNA is filed under the name Methanofollis aquaemaris. RNAcentral describes it as "signal recognition particle sRNA". It matches the Rfam family "Archaeal signal recognition particle RNA". The record is from RNAcentral. Lineage: Archaea; Methanobacteriati; Methanobacteriota; Methanomicrobia; Methanomicrobiales; Methanomicrobiaceae.